Molecule: non-coding RNA, 439 nt
Organism: Ictidomys tridecemlineatus (thirteen-lined ground squirrel)
Lineage: Eukaryota; Metazoa; Chordata; Mammalia; Rodentia; Sciuridae
Source: RefSeq, a predicted model, not a curated record
CACAAGGUGUGCACUGGCCCACUUCUCUCCCCACUCCACAGCAGGCCUCGCAGACGGUCCCUCUGCCUGUCAUCCAUGGUCCUUUAAACCAGUAUGUGCCAGGCACUCUGCUGGGUGCUGAAGGAAAAGCAACGACCCGGCCAGCGUGGGGACUUGUGACUUGAUGUCAAGAACACUCCGAGCUCCCAAAUUCUAAAUUCAGGGAACUUUACCAAUCACAGACUCUUGGGAACUGAUACCUAACAGACAGCGGUCAUGAAACUGUUAAGAAUAAAUGAUCUAAAGCUUGGAGAUAAGGAAGAAGUUGACUGUGAACACUGGUAAAGCCCCCAGAGCACCAUCCGGCCUGCACUGCAGCCACCUGGGUGAGGACAGCAGGGUCAGUGAGCUGCCACUGGAGACCUGACUCUUGAAAAUAAAGCUUUCUAGGACACAACCA